GCGGGAAAAGCGGAGGCGCGGGGCGGGGUGGGGCGGCUGCAGCCCUGGCGUCCCGCGACCGGAGGCCGUGACUUCCGCAUGGGGCUGUGUCUAGUUGGCGGAGGGCGCUCUAGAGAUGCGCGGCUACCCCGCGAAAUUUCGCCCGGGAGUCGUUCUUCCCUGAGGAAUCGCUGGUGGACGUGCAGGCUUGGCAAGAAAAUAGACGUUAUAUUUGAGCCUCCUUUCAAUGCUAGGAUCCUCUAACAGGUCCCCCAAUUUCCCUCAAGUUGUGAGACAGGAAAGAUCUCGAAUCACUUUAAGAAAUCAGGCUGCCUAGUACCACUAUAGAGCUGGUGGUCAGAAGAAUUGAGCAAAGUAGAAAGCAGGAAGACAUUUGGAAGAAAUGGCUGUGAGUGCUCUGUGGUAUCAUACUCCAUACGGAACUAUACCUCAGCCAACACGGCAUUUCAGAGGAGCUAAAGGUCCCUUUGCUGUUCCAAUCAGUGGAAAUUUUGGUCUGUGUGAGCGUGUGUUCUGGAACCGAAGGGCUGGGAAAGGGAUCCUGGUGCCCUGAUUUGCCCUCCUUAUUGUUUCACAGAACCUGCAGCAGCCCCAGAUAACCGAAUGAGCUAGUUUAACGACUUUAAAACAGCUUUAGCGUGUUUUUUUCCUUACUGCAAAAUAUGUGCUUAUUGGAAUACAUUUAGAAGAUAAAACAGAAGAAAACACCCCCUUUCAUCUUUAACUCAUUAAACACUGGUUUAUAUCCUUCCAGUCUUUUUUUAAUUUUUAAUUUAAAAUAGUUUCAGAACAAAGGCUUUUUCCUUUUUUUCUUAUAGCCUUAUUGAAGUAUGAUUUACAUAAAAUUAAAUUCACCCAUUUUAAAUGUAAAGUUCAAUGAGUUUUCAUAAAAAUCUAUAUUUGUGCAACCACCAUCUGAAGUUUUAAGAACCCCAUAAAGUUCUCUCACACCUCUUAACAGGUGUAGCCUAUUUUUAAACUUAAUAGUAGCUUGCGAAUAUCAUUUUUUUGUUUGAAAUAUUCUUUUACAACUCAUUUUAAUGAUUCUGGUAUGGUUUUGUACAGCUGUACCAUGAUUUAUUGGACUCUUAAGUUACUUUGUUUCUUACUAUUAAAAAUUCAACAUGAUGAACAUUCUUAUAACUAAAUUAUUUGUACAUUCAUGAUUAUUUCUUUAGGAAUAAUUUCUGAAAGUGGAAGUGCUGUGUCAGUGGUUACAAUUAGCUCUGUUAUUAAGCUCUCUGAGGUCACGGUAUUUUAUCUGUUCACUGUUACACAUCCAGGGUCUAGCACACACUAUGCAAGUCAAUAUUAAUAAUGGGGUAAAAAAUUAAUGGCUGACCCCAACUUCAAGUUCUACUACAAAGCCACAGUAAUCAAGACAAUUUGGUACUGGCACAAGAACAGAGCCACAGACCAGUGGAACAGAAUAGAGAGACUCCAGACAUUAACCCAAGCAUAUAUGGUCAAUUAAUACACGAUAAAGGAGCCAUGGACAUACAAUGGGGAAAUGACAGUCUCUUCAACAGAUGGUGCUGGCAAAACUGGACAGCUACAUGUAAGAGAAUGAAACUGGAUCACUGUCUAACCCCAUACACACAAGUAAAUUCGAAAUGGAUCAAAGACCUGAAUGUAAGUCAUGAAACCAUAAAACUCCUAGAAUAAAACAUAGGCAAAAAUCUCUUGGACAUAAACAUGAGCGAGUUCUUCAUGAACAUAUCUCCCCGGGCAGGGAAACAAAAGCAAAAAUGAACAAGUGGGACUAUAUCAAGCUAAAAAGCUUCUGUACAGCAAAGGACACCAUCAACAGAACAAAAAGGUAUCCUACAGUAUGGGAGAAUAUAUUCAUAAAUGACAGAUCUGAUAAAGGGUCGACACCCAAAAUAUAUAAAGAGCUCAUGCACCUCAACAAACAAAAAGCAAUCUAAUUAAAAAAUGGGCAGAGGAGCUGAACAGACACUUCUCCAAAGAAGAAAUUCAGAUGGCCAACAGACACAUGAAAAGAUGCUCCACAUCACUAGUCAUCAGAGAAAUGCAAAUUAAAACCACAAUGAGAUAUCACCUCACACCAGUAAGGAUGGCCACCAUCCCAAAGACAAACAACAACACAUGUUGGCGAGGUUGUGGAGAAACGGGAACCCUCCUACACUACUGGUGGGAAUGUAAAUUAGUUCAACCAUUGUGGAAAGCAGUAUGGAGGUUCCUCAAAAAGCUCAAAAUAGACAUACCAUUUGACCCAGGAAUUGCACUUCUAGGAAUUUACCCUAAGAAUGCAGCAGCCCAGUUUGAAAAAAACAGAUGCACCCCUAUGUUUAUCGCAGCACUAUUUACAAUAGCCAAGAAAUAGAAGCAACCUAAAUGUCCGUCAGUAGAUGAAUGGAUAAAGAAGAUGUGAUACAUAUACACAAUGGAAUAUUAUUCAGCCAUAAGAAGAAAACAAAUCCUACUAUUUGCAACAACAUGGAUAGAGCUAGAGGGUAUUAUGCUCAGUGAAAUAAGCCAGGCGGAGAAAGACAAGUAUCAAAUGACUUCACUCAUAUGCAGAGUAUAAGAACAAAGAAAAACUGAAGGAACAAAACAGUAGCAGAAUCACAGAACCCAAGAAUGGACUAACAGUUACCAAACGGAAAGGGACUAGGGAGGAUGCGUGGGAAGGGAGGGAUUAGGGCGGGGAAAAAACAUGUAUAAUUAGCAUGUAGGGGGGACAUGGGGAGGGCUGUGCAACACAGUGAAGACAAGUGGUGAUUCUACAACAUCUUACUACGCUGAUGGACAGUGACUGUAAUGGGGUGUGGGGGGGGACUUGGUGAAGGGCGGAGCCUAGGAAACAUAAUGUUCUUCAUGUAAUUGUAGAUUGAUAGCAACAACAACAAAAAUUAAUGGCUGAGUACCUUUUGCUAUACUGCAUUCCAUCAAGAGAUGCCAACUUAUACUGUCACCAACAGUGUGUAACAAUGUUAUAAUGUAUUAAUGUACAUUCUGGAUUUUCCAGGAUCAAUCUACUUAAAAAUAUUCUGUCCUGUUAUGCCAUUCUUGCCAAUGGGUUUCAGCCCUGGCCAAAGUAAUCUACAGCAAAACGUUCUUGGGGUGAAAGGGUUUAUUACCCAGCUUGUUCUCCGGCAGUAGGUUGAGCACUAGCGCCUCUGCCUCCGCCCAGAGCACGGGGCCUGGCUCUCUAUAUAGCGCAGUAAUAGCUUAUUGCCUAAAGGUGUGGAAGCGGCAGCCUAGCAACAGGCCAGUUACAUCAUCAGGUGGUUUAGGUUCAGUGAGGAUCCUGGCCAUAGGAACCCCAACUUCCCCACAGCCACUGCCCAAAGGAAAUAUUGCACGAAGUCUAAUAUUUUGGCAUCCAAAUUACAUCUUUUAGACUGCCUGCUGUCCUAGCAGCCGUACCAAAAAUAAAUAAAUAAACCUCUUUGUCAAACCACAAAUCUUGUUCUAGUUAGAAAACAUGGUCACUUAUCUAUAAGAUUAGUUUUUUAUCGCAACAUCAUAACAUUAUAAAGAACAGCAAAUAUAUUUACACAGUUUUGAAUAUUAAAGGUAACAAAAUUGCUUCAAGUCUAAUUCAUUAAACAAUUUUGGGAGCCUUC
Manis pentadactyla (Chinese pangolin) is the source of this 3593-nucleotide long non-coding RNA. RefSeq lists it as uncharacterized. NCBI's taxonomy places the organism in Eukaryota, Metazoa, Chordata, Mammalia, Pholidota, Manidae. The record is from RefSeq and is a predicted model, not a curated record. The transcript is spliced from 3 exons.